CAGCCGCCGCGGUAAUACGGAGGGGGCUAGCGUUGUUCGGAAUUACUGGGCGUAAAGCGCACGUAGGCGGCUUGGUAAGUUAGAGGUGAAAGCCCGGGGCUCAACUCCGGAAUUGCCUCUAAGACUGCCGAGCUAGUAGGUGAGAGAGGUAAGAGGAAUUCCGAGUGUAGAGGUGAAAUUCGUAGAUAUUCGGAAGAACACCAGUGGCGAAGGCGACUCGCUGGACAAGUAUUGACGCUGAGGUGCGAAAGCGUGGGGAGCAAACAGGAUUAGAUACCCGCGUAGUCCCUGUCUCUUAUAC
Molecule: ribosomal RNA, 301 nt
Filed under: uncultured bacterium
Lineage: Bacteria
Description: partial 16S ribosomal RNA
Rfam family: Bacterial small subunit ribosomal RNA
Source: RNAcentral